UCGCUCCUACCGAUCGAGUGAUUCGGUGAACCUUUUGGACCGUUGGUGCCUCGUGUACCGAUGGGAAAUCAAGUAAACCAUAUCACUUAGAGGAAGGAU
Molecule: ribosomal RNA, 99 nt
Filed under: uncultured eukaryote
Lineage: Eukaryota
Description: partial small subunit ribosomal RNA
Source: RNAcentral